RNAcentral lists this ribosomal RNA (407 nucleotides) under uncultured bacterium. Its description in RNAcentral is "partial 16S ribosomal RNA". It matches the Rfam family "Bacterial small subunit ribosomal RNA", at positions 30 to 526 of the family's 1533-position model. The record is from RNAcentral.
AUUGAACGCUGGCGGCAGGCCUAACACAUGCAAGUCGAGCGGAGCGGCGGACGCGUGCGUAAUGCCUAGGAAUCUGCCUGGUAGUGGGGGAUAACGUCCGGAAACGGGCGCUAAUACCGCAUACUCUCAGAUGAGCCUAGGUCGGAUUAGCUAGUUGGGGGGGUAAAGGCAUACAAAGGCGACGAUCCGUACCUGUUCUGAGAGGAUGAUCAGCCACACUGGAACUGAGACACGGUCCAGACUCCUACGGGAGGCAGCAGUGGGGAAUAUUGCACAAUGGGCGAAAGCCUGAUGCAGCCAUGCCGCGUGUGUGAAGAAGGUCGUCGGAUUGUAAAGCACUUUAAGUUGGGAGGCGUUACCCACAGAAGAAGCACCGGCUAACUUCGUGCCAGCAGCCGCGGUAAUUC